This 301-nucleotide ribosomal RNA is filed under the name uncultured bacterium. RNAcentral describes it as "partial 16S ribosomal RNA". It matches the Rfam family "Bacterial small subunit ribosomal RNA", at positions 509 to 807 of the family's 1533-position model. The record is from RNAcentral.
CAGCAGCCGCGGGAAUACGUAGGGUGCGAGCGUUAAUCGGAAUUACUGGGCGUAAAGCGUGCGCAGGCGGUUUUGUAAGACAGGCGUGGAAUCCCCGGGCUCAACCUGGGAAUGGCGCUUGUGACUGCAAAGCUAGAGUGCGGCAGAGGGGGAUGGAAUUCCGCGUGUAGCAGUGAAAUGCGUAGAUAUGCGGAGGAACACCGAUGGCGAAGGCAACCCCCUGGGCCUGCACUGACGCUCAUGCACGAAAGCGUGGGGAGCAAACAGGAUUAGAUACCCGAGUAGUCCCUGUCUCUUAUAC